Molecule: ribosomal RNA, 492 nt
Filed under: uncultured bacterium
Lineage: Bacteria
Description: partial 16S ribosomal RNA
Rfam family: Bacterial small subunit ribosomal RNA
Source: RNAcentral
AGUGAACGCUGGCGGUAGGCCUAACACAUGCAAGUCGAACGGCAGCACAGUAAGAGCUUGCUCUUACGGGUGGCGAGUGGCGGACGGGUGAGGAAUACAUCGGAAUCUACUUUUUCGUGGGGGAUAACGUAGGGAAACUUACGCUAAUACCGCAUACGACCUACGGGUGAAAGCAGGGGAUCUUCGGACCUUGCGCGAUUGAAUGAGCCGAUGCCGGAUUAGCUAGUUGGCGGGGUAAAGGCCCACCAAGGCGACGAUCCGUAGCUGGUCUGAGAGGAUGGUCCGGCCACCUGGAACUGAGGCACGGGCCCGGCUCCUAAGGGAAGGAACAGUGGGGAAUAUUGGACAAUGGGCGCAAGCCUGAUCCAGCCAUACCGCGUGGGUGAAGAAGGCCUUCGGGUUGUAAAGCCCUUUUGUUGGGAAAGAAAAGCAGCAGGUUAAUACCCCGCUGUUCUGACGGUACCCAAAGAAUAAGCACCGGCUAACUUCGUG